This is an RNA transcript of Quercus lobata, 1909 nucleotides long. It is a transcript of the gene named retinoblastoma-related protein-like, with no coding region annotated. Lineage: Eukaryota; Viridiplantae; Streptophyta; Magnoliopsida; Fagales; Fagaceae. The record is from RefSeq and is a predicted model, not a curated record. The transcript has 10 exons.
ACAAAGAUAGAUAGGGUUCAGAGAGAACUGAAGAAAGAGUGUGUGUGAGUGUGAGAGAGAAACAAAAACCCAAAAAUCCCUAUUUCUGGUUUCGAUCUGAACAAAAACGGCUUCGUAUCUUCAUUCUUCAUACCUACAGUUUAGGUCAGAGAGAUCCACCAGAUCUAUACCAAAUUCAAUGGAAUGUUGUUGGAUGAGAAUACUUGCACACAAGCUAUGAAGCUGUUGAAGGAAACCAAACACCUUUUACAGACUAAUGUUUCAGCUUUUGGCAACGGAACGGUUGAUGAAGCAGAAAGGUUUUGGUUUGCUUUUGUUCUGUUUUCUAUUAAAAGGCUAAGUGAGAAGAAUGGGGAUAGUGAGCAGCAAGGGUCUGAUGGUAAUGGAUAUACGUUAUGCCAGAUAUUGAGAGCUGUGAAGCUGAACAUUGUGGACUUCUUCAAGGAGCUUCCUCAGUUUGUUGUCAAGGCUGGUCCAACUUUGAGUAAUGUAUAUGGUGCAGAUUGGGAGAAUGGACUUGAGGCAAAAGAGAUGCAGGCCAAUUUUGUGCACUUGAGUCUACUAAGCCAGUCCUACAAACGUGCAAUCCGGGAAUUUUUCUUGACAACUGAAGCAAAUGUUGAUAAGCAGUCCACUGUUGCUAGUGCAUCUGGCUAUGUCUCAGACUACCACCGUCUUGGAUGGUUGCUUUUUCUGGCACUCUGCGUACAUGCGAUCAGCCGUUUUUAAGGACUUGGUGACUUGCAUGAAUGGUUUGGUUUCCAUAUUGGCUAUCUUAAUUAUUCAUGUUCCUGUUUGCUUCAGAAAUUUCAAAUUUGAUGAUUCUCAACUAUUUUUUAAGAAAGACAGCAAAGGUGUAGACAUCCUCGCAUCACUUUGCAACAAAUAUGAAACAUCAGAAGAUGAGUUGAGGAAAACAAUGGAAAAGGCCAAUAAUUUAUAUAUAUAUAUAUAUAUAUAUAUAUAUUGAAUAAAAAGCCACAACCAGCAUCUGAGUGUAGACAGUAUAAUUGGAAACUUAGAGAAUAUCGACACAGAUGGUUUGACAUAUUUUGAAAAUCUACUGGCAGACUCAUCUUUGUCAUCCAGUUUAGGUAUUUUAGAAAAGGAUUAUGAUGGUGCAAUUCGUAGUAAGGGCAAACUGGAUGAGAGGGUUUUCAUUAAUGAUGAGGACAAUAUACUUGGUUCAAGGAGCUUGUCAGGAGGUUCUGUGAAUAUAAGUGGUGUGAAGAGGAAAUUUGAUUUGAUAGCCUCACUGGCUAAGACGAUUACAAGUCCACUCUCUCCUCAGCACUCUCCUGCAUCUCAUGCAAAUGGAAAUAUUGGGGAUUCUAAUUCAAAGAUGGUAGCUAUGCCUGUAAGCACAGCGAUGACAACUGCAAAGUGGCUCCGUACUGUCAUUUCACCACUUCCAUCAAAGCCCUAACAGGAACUGAAGCGUUUCCUGGCAUCUUUUGAUAGGGAUUAGCAGAGGAAGUAGAUUCAAGGGCACUAAUAAUAUUGUUUGCUAUAUUUCCAAGUACUGCUCAGGGAGAGCAUCGUAUGUCUACAAGCCUGUAAUCUGCAAAUCUCAUGGACAUCAUUCGGGCAGAACAACGAAAAUUUGAAGCACUCAAGUUAUAUCAUAGGGUAUUGGAAGCAAUUUGUAGAGCAGAGGCCCAAAUACUGCAUGCAAGUAAUUUGACAGCUCUAUUUACUAAUGAGAGGUUCCAUAGAUGUAUGCUUGCCUGUUCUGCUGAACUUGUUCUGGCAACACAUAAGACUGUUACAAUGCUGUUUCCUGCAGUGUUGGAGAGGACUGGCAUUACAGCUUUCGAUCUUAGCAAGGUCAUUGAAAGUUUCAUUAGACAUGAUGAAUCCUGCCUGAAAAUUGAGGCGACAUUUGAAUUCAUUAGAAGAGUUAGAUUAA